AAAAAUGAAUCUCCAUUGGGACGACGGCGGGAGCCGUCAGGAAAUAGAUGGGGAAUCCGGUUAGAAUCCGGAGCAGUUCCGCUACUGUAAUUCUUCCACAGGAAGAUAAGCCAGAAUACCAGCCUGAUGGAUGCCUAUGCA
This 141-nucleotide non-coding RNA is filed under the name Akkermansia muciniphila. The record is from RNAcentral. RNAcentral also lists the same sequence under 1 other name. Lineage: Bacteria; Pseudomonadati; Verrucomicrobiota; Verrucomicrobiia; Verrucomicrobiales; Akkermansiaceae.